Molecule: long non-coding RNA, 2444 nt
Organism: Daucus carota subsp. sativus
Lineage: Eukaryota; Viridiplantae; Streptophyta; Magnoliopsida; Apiales; Apiaceae
Exons: 3
Source: RefSeq, a predicted model, not a curated record
UAUCUAUCUUAAUCUACACACAUCGAUCUAUACAUACAAAUUUCUGUAUGUAUAUAAUCUCAGUUGCUUGAGAAAUUUGUGUUGCGGCGUUCUCUAAUUCGCUUGGUGCAGGUCGGGACCAUGUUACACACACCUAUACAUACAUAUAUUCGUGUAUACAUAUGUUUGUGUGGUCCCGUUUUGCAUCAAUUGAAUCGGAGAGCGCUGCGAGUCUGUGAAUCGGCGAGCCGUGAAGAUCAAUUUGUAUUUUUAAUGUAUUAGUUUUGAUGAUUAGUUGUUGAAAUUUGAUUUAAUUGUUUGUGAAUUGGUGUUAUUUGUGUAAUUGAUCUUUGUUUGGAUCUGCAUCAGCUGAUAGAGAUAUGUUUAUAAAUAUAGAUCUCGAUUAUGUUUGUUAAUGUUAAUUUGUUUGUUAUUAGGUGCUUUUGGAGAUGUAUGAUUGUUUCGUUUCGAUUUAGUUUGUUUGAACAAUUUAAGAUGGAUUUAGUUCAUAGUAUCUUCGCCUCUUCGGAAUAUAGUAGAGAUGUGCUAAGGUAUAAGAAAGCUAAUAGGAUUUCGCAUUGUAUUCUGUACUUUCGAGCUUGCUUGGUGUUUUGAUUUGAGAAAUUUGUGUGAAUUCAUUAUAGGGAUAAUAGGAAGUAGUUCAGAAUCUAUAAUAGGGAGCUGAUGGGAAAAAACAAAUAAAUAGAGACGGUCGCAGUGUGGUGUAGACUCGAUGCCUCUGGUCUUGUUUGGAAUGCAAUUGGUACUUGUAUAUGGAUUAAUUGUUUGUAACAUUUUAAGUUUAUGAAUAUGAUUGCUGGUUUUAGCUGCUAUUCUAUUUGAUCCAUUUCUGUGGUAAAUAUAUGAUGCUUGGUGUAAUUCAAGUGAUUUUUCUGAGGUGUUCUCCUGUUGGACCAUUAUUUUCUUUUUGGAAGUGAAAUACUACUUAAUUACCCUGUUAUUUCGCUGCUUCUGCUGCUAGAUUUGUUCAUAUUUGUUCUACUGUCAGUUGUUUCAGUAUCAUGUUUAAAUUUGUUUUGAAGCUUAGAUAAUAAAUUUACUAUUCAUUUUUUUUUCAGUCAAUUGCAAACUACAUUAAUAUGUCUCUCAUUGUCGUUUUUGACUUCUACUGGAGUGUUAAGAUAUAUAAGUUGGUGGCAGUAGAAAUUUGGUUAAUGAUUUUUAAAUUUAAAAGUCGUAUAGAUUUGCUCCAAAAUGACAAAAUUCUAGACUAGAUCACCAAUGACCUCAUCACCCGCUGUAAAUACACUAGCUACGCCCCUGCUAGUGGACAUGCUAUUUGCAUGUGAGACUAAUUAUAGAAAGGAUAGGUUACUAUUUAGUGUUUUUGUGUAGCUUCAAUCUGAUCUGCAGAAGUAUUCCGGCUAUCGAGUUGAAUAGUUUAAUCUUUAUUGACAAUAAGCAUGUAAAUGCUUCUACAAAUUAUAUGUAUGUCAAGUCAGUUCGGAUGAGAUAUGAGGUUCGUUAUCACACAUGUUAUGUGACUUGGAUGAGGUUUGAGGUUUCUAAAUUCCUCAACACAUGUUAUAUGCAGGUCAAGUACCAAGUACCCAAGUCAAUUUGGAUGAGGCUAAGCUGUGAAUGCCUUCACACAUGGGAGAUGACUUGAAUGUGGUAAAAGGUGUUAUGUCUUCCAUUUGGCAUUGAUAUUCAAGAUCAUAAAUUUCAGUCAACAGAGGACUGGCAUAAGUGUGUGAGGGUCAAGACCUUUGCAUAAAUCAAGAACCUUAAGCAGAGAUUUACGCGAUCUGUCAUGAAGAUGAUAUCAUUGCUGAAACCAAUUAUGCACUGUGCCCAUUCCCUUGCAAAAUAUUACAUAUGUGCGUAUGUUCAGGUCCUUGAUAUCGGAGCAAUACAUACUAUUUUAUCUGGACUCGGUUAAAAAUGUCUAACAUAGAUAUGUGUCUGAGUGUCGGACUUGGCAAUAUCCAGAAAAUUUUACAUGUUUUUGACCUAAAAUAAGUCUCGGAGUGUCCAUACUCAUAUCUGAGUGUCGAGUGUCCGACACGAAUCUUCGGGAUAAAAUGAAGAGUCGGGGUAACACAGAAUACACACACCUGGCAGGGUCCAGAAAACAGACUAUCUUGAUAACAGAGUGGAAGGUAACAUGGGGAGACCAUUCCGAAACUUGGUAUUCUCUUGACAUGAAAAAGACCAAGGAAAAGAAGCUACCCCCAUAAUAUUCUCAUUAUCAAGUGUGAAGCACACUACCAAAAGUGGGCUUUUUUGUUUUCUAGCAUAACGUCUAGUUUUUCAUUUAUAGGAGCCAGGGCCAGGCGCGCCGGGGACAAACCGCUCCAAUCAAAUUCACAACUAUGAUGGUAACGAUUUCUCGAAACCUGCGACCAUGAUACAAGUCUCCUCUUUUAACCAGCUGAACCAACCUCUGCGAACUAGAAUAUUGUAGUAAACUAUAUGUAUGCUUAUAAGUUAUAACUAUUUUA